RNAcentral lists this ribosomal RNA (364 nucleotides) under Salmonella enterica. Its description in RNAcentral is "bacterial SSU rRNA". It matches the Rfam family "Bacterial small subunit ribosomal RNA", at positions 1153 to 1516 of the family's 1533-position model. Lineage: Bacteria; Pseudomonadati; Pseudomonadota; Gammaproteobacteria; Enterobacterales; Enterobacteriaceae. RNAcentral also lists the same sequence under 11 other names. The record is from RNAcentral.
CAGUGAUAAACUGGAGGAAGGUGGGGAUGACGUCAAGUCAUCAUGGCCCUUACGACCAGGGCUACACACGUGCUACAAUGGCGCAUACAAAGAGAAGCGACCUCGCGAGAGCAAGCGGACCUCAUAAAGUGCGUCGUAGUCCGGAUUGGAGUCUGCAACUCGACUCCAUGAAGUCGGAAUCGCUAGUAAUCGUGGAUCAGAAUGCCACGGUGAAUACGUUCCCGGGCCUUGUACACACCGCCCGUCACACCAUGGGAGUGGGUUGCAAAAGAAGUAGGUAGCUUAACCUUCGGGAGGGCGCUUACCACUUUGUGAUUCAUGACUGGGGUGAAGUCGUAACAAGGUAACCGUAGGGGAACCUGCG